AGGAUUUCUUUCUUACUUGAAAGGAAUUUUUUUUCUAGAAACCUCCCAGUAAACUUAGCUUUCAACUUAAUUGCAGGAAAACGGUCCCUUGGCCGUGGCUAGCUUCAUGGAAAGUUGGGAAAAUAUAUGGCAAAGCGCAGUGAAACUGACAUGAUUGGCAUCUAUCAGUCACAGUUGAUCAUGUGUGCCUGGACACAUCAUCGUCCCUAAUAAAAUAGGUGUUCUGUUAGCAGGGAAGCGGGGGCAGCUGUCAGUCGGUCAAUGACCUUUCUGUCACAGAGCCUGGAACACUUACAGAACUAUAUACGAAAAUCACAUCCAAGUAGAUAGUCAAUUGAUAAAAUCAGGAAUAACUCUUAGGCAUCUUAAGAAACAGAGAGACAAACGGAACAUUGUGGAAUCACAGAGAAGACAACAAGGAGCAGGUAACACCAUUGAAUGUAUGUUAUCAUUGCUCAGAGGCAAGAAAAGAGCAACAUUUUGAGGAGAGAAUGAGAUCAUGUCUACAGAGCAUUUUAUGUUUCUUGGAUCAAAGAUUCUUUGUAGCAUUUUAAGGACAAGAUUUCUGGAAGAAGAAGAGGAUUCACCUGAGAUGGUACCGGCCCUCCACUGAGGAUGCAGACUGGGAAAAUGAACCUGCCUGUGUGGUUGAUUGUAAACAACCCAAAGCCUUAUGUUAUUUGAUUUUUGGUUCAAACAUUUCUGUAGUUGUUCUUCAACCAUGAGGCUAUUUUCAAUUUUAAGUACAAGAGGAGAUUUGAUUUGAUAGAACCUUGACAGCACAUAUUUGGAAUAAAUACAUCUGGCAAUAACAGUACCUGUAUCUUCCUUCCAGCUUCCCAGAGACCUACUUUUAACUCUUUCUCUCCUGGCUUGUUGUGGAGCCACUCUUCUUUAAGCACAACAGAACCCAGAUAAAUCAAACAACAAUGACUUGGUGUGAUAGGGUGUUUUCAGAAACAAAAAACUAGUGUUACAGUUCUUUUAGAAAUUUUUAGCAGAUUUUCCGGUCCUCACUGGAAGCUACCCCACCCCCCACAAAAGAAAACAAAAAACUAUAGUAGAGGUUUUGUUCAAUGACUCUCUGGAUUAACCAAUGCUCACUUUCUUUGUCUUUUUUUUUGAGGCAGAGUCCCACCUG
Long non-coding RNA from Lemur catta (Ring-tailed lemur), 1141 nucleotides. RefSeq lists it as uncharacterized. NCBI's taxonomy places the organism in Eukaryota, Metazoa, Chordata, Mammalia, Primates, Lemuridae. The transcript is spliced from 3 exons. The record is from RefSeq and is a predicted model, not a curated record.